RNAcentral lists this ribosomal RNA (482 nucleotides) under uncultured bacterium. Its description in RNAcentral is "partial 16S ribosomal RNA". It matches the Rfam family "Bacterial small subunit ribosomal RNA", at positions 30 to 507 of the family's 1533-position model. The record is from RNAcentral.
AUUGAACGCUGGCGGCAUGCCUUACACAUGCAAGUCGAACGGUAACGGGCCUUCGGGUGCCGACGAGUGGCGAACGGGUGAGUAAUACAUCGGAACGUGCCCGAUCGUGGGGGAUAACGAGGCGAAAGCUUUGCUAAUACCGCAUACGAUCUACGGAUGAAAGCAGGGGACCGCAAGGCCUUGCGCGGACGGAGCGGCCGCUGGCAGAUUAGGUAGUUGGUGGGAUAAAAGCUUACCAAGCCGACGAUCUGUAGCUGGUCUGAGAGGAUGAUCAGCCACACUGGGACUGAGACACGGCCCAGACUCCUACGGGAGGCAGCAGUGGGGAAUUUUGGACAAUGGGCGCAAGCCUGAUCCAGCCAUGCCGCGUGCAGGAUGAAGGCCUUCGGGUUGUAAACUGCUUUUGUACGGAAAGAAAAGCCUUCUUUUAAUACAGGAGGUUCAUGACGGUACCGUAAGAAUAAGCACCGGCUAACUACGUG